RNAcentral lists this long non-coding RNA (555 nucleotides) under Androctonus crassicauda. The record is from RNAcentral. Lineage: Eukaryota; Metazoa; Arthropoda; Arachnida; Scorpiones; Buthidae.
GUUGUUUGGCAGUGAAGGCAGUUUACAUGAGUCAGUGCACAGAACUAGUGGCAGACAGAAAAAUGUUCCAACAUAAAAUUUUGCCUUAAUUAGGCAAAAGUGCACAUGAAAUGUUGGAAAUCAAUGGUAAAUGUACGAGAAUACAUCAUGAGCAUAGUACUUUGUUCAAGUGACAUAAAUGCUUUAUGAAUGGUAGAGAAAGUUUCUACCACUAGCUCUGUGUAUUGACACGUAAAUUGUCUUGCUGCCAAACAACUGCAUGUCUGAUGAUGUCUUGCUGGCUGUACAGUAUCACCAUCUUGGCUUGUAAUGUUAGCAUUCUAGAUGUUACUCAUUUCAUAUUCGACUGCAGCUUCUUUAUAAAAGCAAUCACUUUAGGUUAUAAUUGGCCAUGUGAUCUUGAAAAUUUUAUAUACAAUAAACAAUUAUUUUUGAUUUUUAAGAAAUAUAUCAGAGAGACUGGGAUCCUAAAUAUUUAUUUCUUUUUGAUUAAAUAAUUUGUUCUGAUAUUUUAAUUCUACACUACAGUGGACUCAUGUUUUUAUGAACUCCAAU